RNAcentral lists this ribosomal RNA (468 nucleotides) under uncultured bacterium. RNAcentral's name for it is "partial 16S ribosomal RNA". It matches the Rfam family "Bacterial small subunit ribosomal RNA", at positions 28 to 507 of the family's 1533-position model. The record is from RNAcentral.
GACGAACGCUGGCGGCGUGCUUAACACAUGCAAGUCGAACGGAAAGGCCCUGCUUUUGUGGGGUGCUCGAGUGGCGAACGGGUGAGUAACACGUGAGUAACCUGCCCUUGACUUUGGGAUAACUUCAGGAAACUGGGGCUAAUACCGGAUAGGAGCUCCUGCUGCAUGGUGGGGGUUGGAAAGUUUCGGCGGUUGGGGAUGGACUCGCGGCUUAUCAGCUUGUUGGUGGGGUAGUGGCUUACCAAGGCUUUGACGGGUAGCCGGCCUGAGAGGGUGACCGGCCAAAUUGGGACUGGGAUACGGGCCAGACUCCUACGGGAGGCAGCAGUGGGGAAUAUUGCACAAUGGGCGGAAGCCUGAUGCAGCAACGCCGCGUGCGGGAUGACGGCCUUCGGGUUGUAAACCGCUUUCGCCUGUGACGAAGCGUGAGUGACGGUAAUGGGUAAAGAAGCACCGGCUAACUACGUG